This 2122-nucleotide long non-coding RNA is filed under the name Salmo salar (Atlantic salmon). RNAcentral's name for it is "lncRNA (ENSSSAG00000121629.1)". Lineage: Eukaryota; Metazoa; Chordata; Actinopteri; Salmoniformes; Salmonidae. The record is from RNAcentral.
CUCUAUGUCAAUUGGUUUCGGUGCAGGAUUUUUUUGGGUGUUUGCAGUGAUUCUGUGGUGUUUGCACUUUUUUUCUAGGCCUAACGUAGGGGGAGAACGUGGGUGGUUAACAUACAUGGGUGGCUAACAUAGGGGGAGUACGUGGGUGGCUGACGUACGUGGGUGGCUAACGUACCUGGGUGGCUAACGUAGGGGGAGUACCUGGGUGGCCAACGCCAAAGACGUCUUGUUGGCAUAAACGGAUGGAAUCUACUAAAAUGACCACUCCCUAUUGUCUCUUAAAUAAAUAUUUCAUAUUUAUUUCCCUCGGAUCCUCUCACUCCCUCUCUCUUUCUUCCUCUCCAUCUCUCCGUCUCUCGCCUGUGGAGAUGUGUUAUGUUUUUCUGGGGCAACCCAGAUGUGACCCAUACUCUCUGGCCUGGUGUGAACUGGAAAACUGGCACAUGGGUUCCCUAAGUCCCUCUGGUAUGGUGGUUCUGCUCUCUCGUCACUAUCAGCGCCGCCAUCAGGGUCUCAGGGCUGGCGGCUGCUUCAACACAGCAUAAAUCGCAUAGUGUUGGCGGUGUGGACAGGCCACGGAUGUAGAAAGCCUGGGCUGAGGAAUGUGUGUGUGUCUGUGUGUGUGUGUGUGUGACUGCGUGUGUGUGUGUGUGACUGUGUGUGACUGCGUGUGUGUGACUGUGUGUGUGUGUGUGUGACUGCGUGUGUAUGUGUGAUUGCGUGUGUGUGUGACUGCAUGUGUGUGUGACUGUGUGUAUGUGUGUGUGUGUGUGUGUGUGUGCGUGUGUGUGUGACUGCAUGUGUGUGUGACUGCAUGUGUGUGUAUGUGACUGCGUGUGUGUGUGUGACUUCAUGUGUGUGUGUGACUGUGUGUGUGUGUGACUACGUGUGUGACUGUGUGUGAGGAAUGGGGAACACUCACUGUCUGACUUGUUCGCCUUCUCUCUCCUCAGCCCCUGAAAUCCUCCACCUUCCCUUCCCAUCGAUCCCAAAUGGCAACCGUGGGAGACUACAGCCAAGUCAGGGAGAAUUAGUUUCUCACAGGGGGACUGUCUUUGCAUUGGCUCGUUGUCAACCGUGGCAGAUGGCUCCAAAUCCUAAAUGUAUGAAGAUGAGCUCAGCUCUUCCUCAUCUUCCUCUCUUCUUCUCAAGUAAGUUAGGGGGCGAAGCUAUGGCUUACCCUUAAAAUACCUCAUUACAUUUAUUUAACCCCUUAAAAAUGUAGCUCAUAGCCUUCUGAUAGCUUUACAAAUGGACAAUGUCGCUAAGAUAUUUUGUGUCCAUUUUGUGUUUUUGUGACAUUUGAUGGGCGUGGCUUACAACGAGCAUGCAACAGGCCUAUGAUGUGUUGACUUCGGUCUUAACGACGUUAAGGACAACAGCCUAUGAUGUGUUGACUUCGGUCUUAACGACGUUAAGGACAACAGGCCUAUGAUGUGUUGACUUCGGUCUUAACGACGUUAAGGACAACAGGCCUAUGAUGUGUUGACUUCGGUCUUAACGACGUUAAGGAUCCGCCAAGUUAUCAGGAUCACAGAGGUUUCAUCAGUAAUGGGACAACAAAGAGCAUCACUGUUCUCUUUACCAACAGCUCAAUUGUCUUUCUACCCCGCCUUGUGUCGCACUAUCCCCUCAAACAUUUAUGAUAAUCCCUGUAACUCUCCCUACAAUACCCUCAGACUAUCUCUCUCUCUCUCUCUCUCUCUCUCUCUCCAUCCAUCUCUCUCUCUUUCUUUUUUCUACCGUUCACUCUCUCCCUCACACAAUAGGUCCCCUCAGCUCUGGCCUCGUUUGAUGUGUUACCGAAAGGAGGAGCCCCCUCACUCACCUUCUGUCUCUCUUUUUCUUCCCCCGUCCACAUACCCUCUUUUUUUUUAUUUCUCCUCCUCGUCUCACUCGCCACUUCCUCUCUAAGCUGUGCCCCUGGUGCCCUUUUGGUCCAAUGACAUAGUCCUCCCUCUGCUCCGUCGCCACCUCCUACUCAGCCAGUCACACACACACUCACACAUUUACACACCUACACACACACACACACACACACACACACACACACACACACACACACACACACACACACACACACACACACACACACACACACACACACACACACACACAGAAU